AUGCCAUGAUGAGAACAUCUUCUGAGAAACUCUUUAAAUCUCUCCCAAGCCUCAUACAAGUUCUCAUCUUUAAUUUAGUGAAAAUAGGUGAUCUCAUUCCGCAAUUU
Molecule: small nucleolar RNA, 107 nt
Filed under: Citrus sinensis (sweet orange)
Lineage: Eukaryota; Viridiplantae; Streptophyta; Magnoliopsida; Sapindales; Rutaceae
Description: Plant small nucleolar RNA R71
Rfam family: Plant small nucleolar RNA R71
About the family: R71 is a member of the C/D box family of snoRNAs containing the C (UGAUGA) and D (CUGA) box motifs.
Source: Rfam by way of RNAcentral